AGAGUUUGAUCAUGGCUCAGGACGAACGCUGGCGGCGUGCUUAACACAUGCAAGUCGAACGAGGUCCAUCCUUCGGGAGAAGACCUAGUGGCGAACGGGUGAGUAACACGUGAGGAACCUGCCCCGAAGACCGGGAUAACAGCGGGAAACCGCUGCUAAUACCGGAUGCCCCCAUUGGAUCGCAUGGUCCGAUGAGGAAA
This 200-nucleotide ribosomal RNA is filed under the name uncultured bacterium. Its description in RNAcentral is "partial 16S ribosomal RNA". It matches the Rfam family "Bacterial small subunit ribosomal RNA", at positions 8 to 205 of the family's 1533-position model. The record is from RNAcentral.